This 1060-nucleotide long non-coding RNA is filed under the name Cricetulus griseus (Chinese hamster). Its description in RNAcentral is "lncRNA (ENSCGRG00015015570.2)". Lineage: Eukaryota; Metazoa; Chordata; Mammalia; Rodentia; Cricetidae. The record is from RNAcentral.
CCGGCUUCAGAGAAACCAAACCUUGUGAGGACCGCAAUGCAAAUGCCCAACAGGCAUCCUGGGCCCUGCCUGCCUGAGACCACUGCUGCAGCGGUGGCUGAACCAUCUUAGGAAAAGGACACUUAGAACACACUGUCUUGGCAGUCAGAAAGUACUUCAGCGUUGCAGCUCACAGAGGAAAUGAGCUAUGCAGAGGGAACUGGGAAGACCAUCGGGAGGAGACCACUGAAGGGGACCCUAGCCUGACAUUUCAGAAAGUAGAUAUCUGUCCCUCCUGACUGGAAUGCCCUCUCAUGCCAUGGAGCACUCUCUUCAGGGAAUCUUGGGUUCUUUCUCCAUGUCACUUCAUUCACACGUCCAGUCCUUGCCCAGGAAGGCUGCUGCGGCUCAAGCCAUCACAUCCACACCCCAGCUGCAGAAGGAGUUAGAGAAGCUGCUCCUGAGGGGCAUGCCUGUGAGACUGUACACACCGCAUCCUCCCACUUACACUUCUUUGGCCAGAAGACAGCUGGACUUUGCGAGGAAGACUAGUCUUUAUUUUGGGAGUCCACAUGUUUGGUUCACAGGACAUAACAUGGUAUUGGAGUCACCACGGAAACCAAGGGUCAUCACUCUGUUCUCAGCUCACAAGGCUUCUUCUUUUUCUGUCUCUCCAUACUAGUUUUUAAACCAAGGUUUAACUAGAAUUUGAUCUCCUUGAAGAGAAGCCCUGUGGGAAAUUACCCAGCUCUACUCUAGGAACCAAAGGGCAAGAGGCCCAAGCUAACUUAUUUCAGCUUCUGUUAAACUGCUUGCUUGUGCAAACUUCCACAUCCAGCUACAGAGUGUGAUGCCAGGAUGUGGUUUCUGUCUUUAAAAUCUCCCUUGUCUAAAUGCUCAGCGCUACACUUGGGUUUCCAAAUACCUGAGUGUAGCCCCAGCUGGCUGGAAUAAAUACUUUCAACCGGCUAUAAAUUGUGUCUGAGUGAUCAUCUCUGGUGGGCUCUGCAUAACAAAAGUGACAGAGGGUUGUCCAAAGUAGCGGUUGAGUCCUUUUCUCUUUUAGGAAAAAACAAAACAU